Molecule: ribosomal RNA, 253 nt
Filed under: uncultured bacterium
Lineage: Bacteria
Description: partial 16S ribosomal RNA
Rfam family: Bacterial small subunit ribosomal RNA
Source: RNAcentral
UACGGGGGGGGCAAGCGUUGUUCGGAAUUACUGGGCGUAAAGGGCUCGUAGGUGGCCAACUAAGUCAGACGUGAAAUCCCUCAGCUUAACUGGGGAACUGCGUCUGAUACUGGAUGGCUUGAGUUUGGAAGAGGGAUGCGGAAUUCCAGGUGUAGCGGUGAAAUGCGUAGAUAUCUGGAGGAGCACCGGUGGCGAAGGCGGCAUCCUGGACCAACACUGACACUGAGGAGCGAAAGCCAGGGGAGCAAACGGG